Molecule: non-coding RNA, 203 nt
Filed under: Coprobacillus sp.
Lineage: Bacteria; Bacillati; Bacillota; Erysipelotrichia; Erysipelotrichales; Coprobacillaceae
Description: T-box sequence
Rfam family: T-box leader
About the family: Uncharged tRNA acts as the effector for transcription antitermination of genes in the T-box leader family.
Source: RNAcentral
GUAAUAACGAUGAAGAAGAGGAGUAAUUAAUUACUUGUUUUUAGAGAGUGACUGUUUGGUGAAAGGUCAUAAGAAGUAUUAAUGAAGGUAGCUUUGGAGUUGGCUUUACGAAAAAAAAGUAGUUUAGUCCGUUAAUCGCGUUAAGAUAAAUGAAGAGCACAUUAUGUGAACUAAGGUGGUACCGCGGAAUUUUCGUCCUUAAG